GAUGAACGCUGGCGGCGUGCCUAAUACAUGCAAGUCGAGCGAACAGACGAGGAGCUUGCUCCUCUGACGUUAGCGGCGGACGGGUGAGUAACACGUGGAUAACCUACCUAUAAGACUGGGAUAACUUCGUGAAACCGGAGCUAAUACCGGAUAAUAUAUUGAACCGCAUGGUUCAAUAGUGAAAUACGGUUUUGCUGUCACUUAUAGAUGGAUCCGCGCCGCAUUAGCUAGUUGGUAAGGUAACGGCUUACCAAGGCAACGAUGCGUAGCCGACGUGAGAGGGUGAUCGGACAAACUGGAACUGAGAAACGGUCCAGACUACUACGGGAGGCAGCAGUAGGGAAUAUUCCGCAAUGGGCGAAAGCCUGACGGAGCAACGCCGCGUGAAUGAUGAAGGUCUUCGGAUCGUAAAACUCUGUUAUUAGGGAAGAAAAAAUGUGUAAGUAACUAUGCACGUAUUGACGGUACCUAAUCAGAAAGCCACGGCUAACUACGUG
RNAcentral lists this ribosomal RNA (497 nucleotides) under uncultured bacterium. RNAcentral's name for it is "partial 16S ribosomal RNA". It matches the Rfam family "Bacterial small subunit ribosomal RNA", at positions 28 to 507 of the family's 1533-position model. The record is from RNAcentral.